Molecule: long non-coding RNA, 238 nt
Filed under: Vitis vinifera (wine grape)
Lineage: Eukaryota; Viridiplantae; Streptophyta; Magnoliopsida; Vitales; Vitaceae
Description: long non-coding RNA (VVIN_LNC004748)
Source: RNAcentral
GGAAAUAAAACGUGUACCCAAAUGAGCUUACUACAAGUUCAAUGCUCCAUUUACAACUUUUUGAGUUUCACUUUCUUUCGUGAAAUUUCAUACUCCACGUGUCAUAAAUCCGUACUCAACCAAUAGAAUUACAGAAUAGGCCCAUGCAAAAACAAAAAUAGCCCAAAGUGUAAAUAUCUAAAAAUAUGUAGAGUCCAAAAUAAUUAUUCAAGCCCAAAUUCAAACUUCAAAUUAGUCU